This 649-nucleotide long non-coding RNA is filed under the name Phoenix dactylifera (date palm). Its description in RNAcentral is "long non-coding RNA (PDAC_LNC019915)". The record is from RNAcentral. Lineage: Eukaryota; Viridiplantae; Streptophyta; Magnoliopsida; Arecales; Arecaceae.
UUUAACCUUCUAAAAUCACUUCUAAUCCUUUUGUCCUAAAGAAGACCACCUUGUCUUGGCUUAGGACACACUAGAAGCAAUGCUAGAAAGAAAGAAGAGAGGAGUGGGGUGGAGUUAGAAUGAUGAAACCCAUGGAGUGCUAGCCUAUUUAUAAUAGGUGUAGGGAUGCAUCUUCAAGGGAUGCAUCCCAUCCACACAUCCUUUCAUGAAAGGACAUCAUCUGAGGGCCAUAUCAAAUAAGAGGAGGUGCAGAUCAAGUGAAGAGGUAUAUCAAAUGAUAUGUCCUUUCAUGUGGUGCCAUAUUUUGACCAAGUCAACAUCACAUGCUAAUCACAUGUCCAUCAUGCCUCACCUCUUGAUCUUUCAUGAUGAUGAUCCAAGGGCUCCAAUGCAAGGCGCCAUUUACUUGACCCAUUAUGUCUUCAUCCAAUGGUGGGAUUAAGAUCCAAUGGUCAAUUAUGAUAGCCAUCCUCUAACCCAAUCCAAUUGGGUUAAACCAACUCUCCAUUAUGUCUUCAUCCAACGGUAGAUCAAGAUCUAAUGGUCUUAAAUUGAAUGAUUUAUUAAAUCUAAUCCAAUUAGACUCAAACCAAGCCAAUUAGGUGCCAACUCUUGGCUAACCCAUAUUAGAAUAUGAUCUAAUCAAAUU